ACGUCGGGUCCAGCGUCUCUGCGUCGGCGCAACUUCCACGAUAACCGCUCCUGCCCGAUCUCCCCACCCUAAGAACGCCUACGCCGUCGAAUUUCGAGGCUCGCUCCUGACACUGAGGCCAGCCGAGUCCUGCGCGAUCGCCGACUACCUGACACGCAGGAUCCACAUCACCCACAAGGGCAAAACGAAAAAAAAGAUGAGAUACGAAGAAGAAUGCUGAAAAGUCGAGGAGCUGCAAGCCUUCAGUCGGCUUCGAUAAAUAAACUCUUUCUCUUUCAACCUGGAAUCAGCCGAAAUCGAGUUCCCGAAAUUCAUCCUUACGUACAUAUGUAAAAAUGAUAAACCCGGGGACCAAAACUCUACGAUUCUGCAUUUCUUGCCCCUCUAUUCUUAGACUACUAAACUCCCACGCGGUUAUUUAAUAUCCCAGACACGUACUAUUUACCGAUGCUUUACACAAUUUGACAAUUCUAUCGUAUAACAGGUUCGCAAGACAAUGCAUACUUAAAAUUGUUUUCGAAUAUAAUUUAGUCCGAUAUAUUUUUAUCGACUUUCCGCGUUACUUCCGCGUUAUUAAAACUUAUCUUUCCUCGACUGAAUUUAAUUUCUUGUAAAUAGCCCUUAAUCUUAAUAUCGUACUAGUUAAUUGUUUCAUUUCGAUUUCCUACUAUUUAGCGUCGAAAUUAAGGUGUAUCGGUAGGCAACGAUAAUAAAAAUAAUUAUAACCAUAUUAAUCGAGGUUACAUCGUAUAAUAUUUGUUGCCCCGAGCUUUCUUAU
Molecule: long non-coding RNA, 778 nt
Organism: Bombus terrestris (buff-tailed bumblebee)
Lineage: Eukaryota; Metazoa; Arthropoda; Insecta; Hymenoptera; Apidae
Exons: 3
Source: RefSeq, a predicted model, not a curated record